This 256-nucleotide long non-coding RNA is filed under the name Phoenix dactylifera (date palm). Its description in RNAcentral is "long non-coding RNA (PDAC_LNC002258)". Lineage: Eukaryota; Viridiplantae; Streptophyta; Magnoliopsida; Arecales; Arecaceae. The record is from RNAcentral.
AGGAGGAGUGGGGGUUGCGGCGAGCGAGGGAGAGGAAGAGGGAGCGAAGAAGGCGGGCUAGGGAGGGGCUGAGGGAGGAGACAUGUUGCUUGAGACCGUUGAUGUCGAGGGGGACGACGAAGAUCUUCUCCCAGGUGGAGGGCCGGCAGUUGGUGCAGGACACCGAGAGGUCGUCUCCGGCGACCUCGGCGCCGUUGGAUCUGGAAGAAGGCUUCUUCGGAGCCGUCGAUUUGGAGGAGGAGGAGGAAGGGUGGAG